UGGGUUGACUCCAAUUGAACCGCAGCUUCACCCUUGUGGUGCUCCCCCGCCAAUUCCUUUAAGUUUCAUAUUUGCGUACGUACUUCCCAGGCGGCAGACUUAACGGCUUCCCUGCGGCACUGCAUUGGCCACAAGCCAAUGCAUCACCGAGUCUGCAUCGUUUACAGCUGGGACUACCCGGGUAUCUAAUCCGGUUUGCUCCCCCAGCUUUCAUCCCUCACCGUCGAACGUGUUCUGGUACACCGCCUUCGCCACAGGUGGUCUUCAAUAGAUCAAAGGAUUUUACCCCUUCCUAUCGAGUACCGUGUACCUCUCCCACUCCCUAGCUGCACAGUAUUUUCGGCGGCCUAUACGUUAAGCGCAUAGAUUUAACCGAAAACUUAUGCAACCGGCUACGGAUGCUUUAGGCCCAAUAAACCUCCUGACCACUCGAGGUGCUGGUUUUACCGCGGCGGCUGACACCAGAACUUGCCCACCCCUUAUUCACCAGUGAUUCUACAACUGACAAAAGACUCCUUUAGCAGGAGACACUCGGAUUAACCUUGUCGUGCUUUCGCACAUUGCAAAGGUUUCUCGCCUGCUGCGCCCCAUAGGGCCUGGGUCCGUGUCUCAGUACCAUCUCCGGGCCCUC
Molecule: ribosomal RNA, 631 nt
Filed under: uncultured archaeon
Lineage: Archaea
Description: partial 16S ribosomal RNA
Source: RNAcentral